Non-coding RNA from Acanthosepion pharaonis, 99 nucleotides. The record is from the annotation of a GenBank genome assembly. NCBI's taxonomy places the organism in Eukaryota, Metazoa, Mollusca, Cephalopoda, Sepiida, Sepiidae.
GUUGAAACACUGGUUCUCAUAUGAACACCAAAGUUAACCAAUAUCCGCCCUUGUCAGUACCUCGAUGGGUGACCGCAUUGGAAUACAAGGUGCUGUAAG